AAAGCUAAGAAGUAAGCAAGCUAUUCUGAGUUGGGUUUUGAAAACAGCGUCAGAGUGAGCGCUCUGCGUUCUUGUUUAGUUUUCCGAAGUAGCUACAGAGUGAGCGCUCUCACCGCUCUGCCCUCUGUCGGCCUAUCUUUGCAGUUUCUCCGUCUUCUUGACAGCUACGUGAACCGUUAGGAUCACAAACAGCCAAGACGGACAGAGUCGAGUUUAUGCCAGUUUAUGCUGAUGCUAAUGUGUUUAUCAUACGCUUCUGCCUUGGAGAUUAUUUGUCUUUUUACAAAAAACAAGAUAUUGGCCCAACAGUCAAGACUCAAGUAAAGACAGGAAAAGCAA
Long non-coding RNA from Notolabrus celidotus (New Zealand spotty), 339 nucleotides. RefSeq lists it as uncharacterized. NCBI's taxonomy places the organism in Eukaryota, Metazoa, Chordata, Actinopteri, Labriformes, Labridae. The record is from RefSeq and is a predicted model, not a curated record. The transcript has 2 exons.